ACCCCGAGCAGUUGAGGAUUCCGUGCCUUAUUCAAUGGCACCUCGGCAGUGCCCAGGCAAGUGAACCAGAACCUCUCCAGCCACCAGUCCACUUGCCAAACUUCGUCCAUGCUGGGACUCAAAGCCAAGUCCCUAUAGACUGAGCUACUGCCGCCCAUCAUUACCGCCUCUAAAUGAAUUGCCUGAUCUGAGUGAAAUCUGCUGUGUUGGCACCAUGUUCAACCGUGGAGACGCACGGUAUACAGGUGACACCAGGAAUCAAUACUCCCAGCGCUCACACAACAUUAAGCCUGAGAGGCUGCUCCAAGCCUGCUGUGAUCCAUAGCCUCUGGAUUCUGUCUGUGUACCGCUGUUAAGAGCACAACAGCAGCCUGCCCCGAGGAAACAUGUGCAAAAAAAAAAACCUUCAGGGACACAUCCAUUACAUCAAUGAGGAGAAAUGCUUGAGGAAGAUGAGUGUCCAGGGUUACCGGUGUUAUGGCUGAUGUUGCUCAGCUUGUUGCCGUCUGCAGUUUGAUUGCAUUUCUCUCACUCUAAUGAUUUUGGUGUGAAAGGGCAAAAUGAAGGAAGUUUUUUCAAAGAAAAAACGCAACAAGGUGGACGGUACUAAGGGCUACUCACAAGCCUUACUAAGUCAUUUUUAGUGCUGUUCAACUGUGACUGCAAAUUUUCAUCACACUGUAAGUUUUGGAAAAAUAUAUUCAGCUAUUAAAACAUUUCUUUAUGGGCUUUUA
Molecule: long non-coding RNA, 734 nt
Organism: Notolabrus celidotus (New Zealand spotty)
Lineage: Eukaryota; Metazoa; Chordata; Actinopteri; Labriformes; Labridae
Exons: 2
Source: RefSeq, a predicted model, not a curated record